GCCCUGAUGGUCUAGUGGUAUGAUUCUCCCUUCGGGUUACCUGAAGAAUCCUGCCUCUGAGAGGCAAAAUGGGAGAGGUCCCCGGUUCAAAUCCGGGUUAGGGCC
Non-coding RNA from Kalaharituber pfeilii, 105 nucleotides. Lineage: Eukaryota; Fungi; Ascomycota; Pezizomycetes; Pezizales; Pezizaceae. The record is from the annotation of a GenBank genome assembly.